RNAcentral lists this transfer RNA (74 nucleotides) under Vibrio harveyi. RNAcentral describes it as "tRNA-Met". It matches the Rfam family "tRNA". Rfam says of the family: Transfer RNA (tRNA) molecules are approximately 80 nucleotides in length. Their secondary structure includes four short double-helical elements and three loops (D, anti-codon, and T loops). Further hydrogen bonds mediate the characteristic L-shaped molecular structure. tRNAs have two regions of fundamental functional importance: the anti-codon, which is responsible for specific mRNA codon recognition, and the 3' end, to which the tRNAs corresponding amino acid is attached (by aminoacyl-tRNA synthetases). tRNAs cope with the degeneracy of the genetic code in two manners: having more than one tRNA (with a specific anti-codon) for a particular amino acid; and 'wobble' base-pairing, i.e. permitting non-standard base-pairing at the 3rd anti-codon position. Lineage: Bacteria; Pseudomonadati; Pseudomonadota; Gammaproteobacteria; Vibrionales; Vibrionaceae. The record is from RNAcentral.
CGCGGGGUGGAGCAGCUUGGUAGCUCGUCGGGCUCAUAACCCGAAGGUCGUCGGUUCAAAUCCUACCGCAACCA